RNAcentral lists this long non-coding RNA (6483 nucleotides) under Malus domestica (apple). RNAcentral describes it as "long non-coding RNA (MDOM_LNC007118)". Lineage: Eukaryota; Viridiplantae; Streptophyta; Magnoliopsida; Rosales; Rosaceae. The record is from RNAcentral.
AUCAGUUUUUAUACGAACGGAUAAGUAAAUUGAAAUCACAACUUAUGAAAUCACAACCGAAGGUAAUCAAUUCAUAUUACAAAUAUAUUCAUGGUUUCGAAUUAACCUCUAGCCAAAAUAAAAUUAAUUACACAUUAUUAAAAUAAAAAUAAAAUAGGAGUUUGGAAAGAUUAAACCGAAAGAAAGGAUCUGCUGCUUGGACUCUGAACUGCAUUUUCAUGCUGACCUCCUGUCCUCCUCGCCACUGACUUCCCUUCUCUCCGCAGCUUCACGCUGCCCAAAGGGCAGCCCUCUGCCUUCCACCAAUUCCCCCCCUCCUUCUCUCUUCUGCCAAUCCCAUCUAUAUCCUCAUGCUCCUGACCUCCUCCUUAUUUCUUUUUUUUCUAUUUUAUUUUUUUUUGUUGCUGUCCACCACAUUCUCUGCGCCUACUGCGCUCCCAGCUGUCUCUCCUGCUUUCCACUGACUUUUCCCGCUCCCACUUCUCUCUAUCCUCUUUCUGCUGCCGCAAGGCAGCUGUCUGCUUGCUGCUUCUCUCUCCCUUUUUCUGCUUGUUUAUAUUUUUUUUUUUCUUCUUUUCCUUUUCCUUCUUUUCCUUUUCCUUUCUUUUUCUUUUCUUUCUUUUUCUUUUCUUCUUUGCCGUUCCUUUCUUCUUCUACAAAACAUGAAUCAUGAUGAUGUUUCAAACAUCAUCAUGACUUGUUAUUAUUAUUAUAUAUUUAUUUAUUUUUAAUUUUAUUUAAAAGCUGAUCUACACAGACAGUUUUGACGAAUUUAUUACAUAAAAUUUCACUUGUUCUAUUUUUAUUUUCUUUGCAUAACAAAUCCUAUAAACACAAAAAUAACGUAAAUAGCUCAAAAAUAUAAGGAACUAACUAAGAAAAGACGAGUGAAUUCGAAGUAAAAAUAUAUAUAAAUAUCAUCCGAUCAAAUACCCCCACACUUAACUUUUGCUAGUCCUCGAGCAAAACAAAGAAAACUAGAACAAGAAGUAACAAGAAAAACAUUAGCUUCCCCCUAUGUGACCCUCAUAGAAUUUCAUUCGAGAAAACAAAUCAUCAAGAACCAUAGCUAGCAUCAAGGAAAUAAUCCAAGUUCAUCUUCCUUAUUCAAAUAUUAGCAGUAAUCUUUAAAUCAUCCUUGAAGUGUAGUGUGUGAGAUAGCCAUGCUAAUGCAAUUUCAAGUUUUUAUUUUUAAAAUCAUCAUAUGCAAACUAGCGACCUUCUCACGGGAUAUGCACUCAAUCACACAUGUGUUUAGUUUUAAUGUGUUUCGCUCAAAGAAUCAAAUGUGAAAUUUCUACCAUAAGCUUGCAUAAAGAUCACUUCUCCACAGUCAUAAUUGCAAAACUUAAAUCAAGAGGACUUUUAUUGGAUGUAAUGAGGCUUAGGGAUAGGGUUAUUGAAAUGAAAGAAUAGGAAAACACAAGUUCCAAGCUAUAUUGCAAGCAAUUCUUUUGUUUAGAUUUAUAAGAACUCAAUUUUUUCAGCGAUUCUUCUAGCACCUCCAACCAUACCCUUAAACUGAAACUUUAAAAACUUUUUAUUUUCUUUGUAUACAAUCUUUCUUUUUCUUUUCUUUUUUUCUUCUUUUUUUUUAUUUUUUUUUAUUUUUAUUUUUUUUAUACAAACAUGAAAUACCCCCACACUUAUUCUUUUGCCAAACACCUUCAAAGUACUUCACAAACAUUUCUCAUAAGACAAUCUCACAUUGCUCACUUGGAAAGGGUAAGGAAAAAAUGUUUCAGGCAUAAGGGUAGACAUAUCUGGUGAUAAGAAAUAAAAGGCUCAACAUACACGGCUCAAAUUGGCAAUCUAAUGAUAUCAUUUUCUUUGGGAAACAUAGUUAUUUGGGCCAUAGUGGUAAACCUAAUGCCUCUAUCAUUUCCAAGUUCAUGCAAUCAAUGACAAACAUUUCGAAAGAUCGUUACGCAAGUUCUAGAGAUGUAUCUCACAUAAGUUCAUCACACAUGAAAGAAUAGGAGUGUAUGAAAAAUGCACACUUUCAAUAGGCUCAAAAACUCACAUAGGAUGUAUAUGGUCACUAAAUUCACAUAUGAAGCUUUAAGUCAUACUUUAGUUUCACAUUAACAAGGCUAUGUGCAUUUGGUUUUUCAAAGAUGGUCAAACAUGUACAAAACUAACAAGAGAAUUAGGAAUUUCACCAAAACACAUGUUAACUAAGUUCUUGAUGAUCAUGGUUCAAAUUUUUGAUCCAAUUAUAUCAUUGGGUCGGGAAACUAACAAAAAUCUGAUUCAGAACAAUAAGGGAAACAAGACAAUAUUUUUUGGAUUUUUAAAUUUUUCGAUUUUUUUUUUUUUUUUUUUUUUUUUUUUUAAGAAAACAAAAACUAACAACACAGAAACAAAUGAAAUUCUAGAGAUUUCUACCCCCACACUUAAACUUGACAUUGUCCCCAAUGUCAGAAAACACUAUAACGCAAAUAAAAAUAAAAUAAAUAAAUAAAUAAUAAGAAACAAAAUAAAAACAAUGGGACUGAAAACUUCCCUAAUUUGCAGUAAAAUCAAGCGAUGACCCCCAAGCUAAAAUUCUGCAAUCAACUUCAAGGGUGGAAAUAACCAAAAGUUUCCUGCAAAGAAAAGAAAUAAUACAGUUAAGUACGCAAGAAAAUUAAUUAAAAAAAAAAAAAUUGCAAACGAAAAAUUGAAAAUUACGAUAAAAAGAUAAUGAAUAAAACUAAUAAGUAAUCAUUGGUCGUGCUUGUUGACUUUCCACAGCUUUCCUCUUGAACAGGGUGACACUUAGCUUUUUUACUAUUUGAUGAUAUUGUACGGCGGAGCUUUGCUCUUUGGGAAUGUUGCAGUUCCUUAUUUGUUCUCCAAGCAGAUGUGGCAGCUUCUCUAGUUCCUCAGUUCGGACUCCUUCCGCUGGGAUGAUUGUGCAAGCUGCAUUCUUCUCUGCUUGUUUCUUCUGCACAACGGGCAGGCACGAGGGAAAGGUGUUGGUCCUUAUUUCUUUCUUCAAUCUUUCCAAGUGCCCACCUCUUGCUUUCUUUCUCCUUGUCCCUAGCUGAAUUGUCUCCACAUGCUUCGAGGUAUCAUUUUCACUUUCCUUACUGUCCCCCAGGCAGAUGUGGUAGACGAAGAGAAAGCAUAAAAUGAUGAAGAUGAGUACUCGAGAGCAAGGCUAGGUAAGCAAUCAGGAAAGGGUUCCAGGCAGUUGGCUCCAGAUUGGAAGAUUGAUACCAAAUGCUGGCUGAUUGCUCUCUUUCUCCUUGUCGGAAAACAAAGACAAGGAGAAGGACAUGGAGAAAGCAUGAUAUGAGAUACUCUUGCUUUCAACCUUUAUGAUAUGAAAUACUUUUGCUUUGAAUGGGUUGUUCGCAGGAGUAUCCCAAGGAAUGAGGAACACAGAGUGACUCGAGAGGAUUCUUUGGGAAUGCAUUUUCGGAGAUGAAGAGGUGUUGAGAGGGUGUGCUGAGAGAGUGUGCUUUUGCUGUGGAAGGCGAAGGUAGAAACUUAUAGGACUUGUCUUCACAACCGGAACUGUUCUCUCACUUAGUGUCGGCAGCCGGUGGAUGGGUGAAGAAUACAAAUUACGCGCUUUCUGACAAAGCUGCCCGUAAUUUCCGCAAAGCUGCCAGUUGCAUGUGACAAGUGCUGACUAGGCUGAGAGAGACAGAUGGUUGGAAUCGGCACUUCGACAGACUGCCCGUGAUUUUCGCAGAGCUGAGUUUGCGUGUGACGGGUGACAACACGUCUGGACGAAUUGAUCUUGCGAAAUCCGGGGUUCGGCUCGUGGUUUCUGAGCAAGCCCAACUUUUAAGAAAUGAACGCCUCUUUUGAGAAAAGAAUCCGGCUUUUGAGAACGGAAACUCCUCUUUUGAGAAAAGAAUCCGGCUUUUGAGAAAGGAGCCCCGACUCUUCGAUUUGCGAGAUGACGCUUCUCUGAGGAGCGCCUCUUUGAUUUCUUCUUUUUAUAGAGGCGUUAAUUUUGUUCCACAACACACUUGAGUACCCUCCUGUAAACACUCCCAUCUUGCACUUGUUUAAUCUUGAUCAGUCCAACUCUCUUCUUUCUUUACCACCUCUGAAAAAUGUCUGGCCCUUCUGAUCGUCGUUUUGACUUGAACAUUGGUGAAGAGGCAGCUCCGCCUUCACCAGACAACAUAUGGCGGCCAUCCUUCAUAUCCCCUACCGGUCCCCUUACCGUGGGGGAUUCGAUGAUGAAAAAUGACAUGACCGCUGCGGUGGUGGCCCGAAACCUUGUCACUCCCAGAGAUAACAGACUGCUCGCAAGGCGGUCUGAUGAAUUGGCGGUCAAGGAGUCUCUGGCUCUCAGUGUGCAGUGUGCGGGUUCCGUAUCCAACAUGGCCCAACGCCUAUAUGCCCGAACCCGUCACGUUGAAUCCUUGGUGGCUGAAAUACAGAGUCUCAAGUAAGAGAUUAAAGGGCUCAAGCAUGAGAAUAAGGAAUUGCACAAGCUCGCACACAGCUAUGCCACCAGCAUGAAGAGGAAGAUUGACCAGAUGCAGGACACCGAUGGUCAAAUUUUACUUGAUCAUCGGAGGUUUGUGGGUUUGUUCCAACAACAUCUGCCUUCGUCUUCUGGAGCGGCACCGCGUAGUGAAGCUCCAACUGAUCAACCUAUGCCGCCUCCUCCUUCUGUGGCCCCGCCGACUGCUGAAGCCCCGCCCGACCAAUGAAUACUAUUAGUUUACAUCAUUGUAAAAUAUUUGUACUUUUUUUUUUUUAUUUUUUUAUUUUUUUAUAAAUGUAAAUUAAUGUAAAGAGACUUUGGUUAACCUUCCCACACUUAAACUAAAUAACACAAACUCACAGAAAUCAAACAAAUAACACAACUAACUAAACAAGACAAAAUGAAAGCAUUAAAGAUAAGGGUGUAAAAAUGCAAAUCUGAUUGGGUUAGCGAUUCCAAAGUCUCCCUUCGUUGAAUGCUUGGGUUGCCUCCCAAGAAGCGCUUGAUUUAACGUCUUUAGCCGGACGCAUCUUUCCUUUAAAUUUCCCUCGGCUCCAUUUGAACCUAAAAUCAAAGAAAGAAAAAUAAAUCAAAUAUCAAAAGUAAAAUACACAAACACCAAUAUAAACAUAAACAAAAACAAAAAUAAAAGGAUUAGCAAAGUUGCUAAUCCCCGGCAACGGCGCCAAAAUUUGAUGCGUAAAAUAAGUUAACACACAAAAUUAAACCCUCUUUUUGACAAUUGUAGUAUAGAUGUAAGUAGGGUAUCGUUCUAGGCCGGGGAUUAGGAGGGAUUGCUAAUCUAUUAAAUUAACUUAAAAAUAUUAAAUAAGACUCAAGGACACAAAACUAGGCUAAAAACUCUAAUAACUCGAAACACACUUAAAAUGACUCAAAAUAAUGAAAACAAUUAAAUUAAACACUAGGAACUGAAAUGGACGGAAAUUAAAUUAAAAGACUAACAAUAAAGAAAACUAAAUAAAUAAUAUAAUUUAAUAAUGGAUGGGUGUUUGGUUUUGAUGAAAAGUAAAUUAAACUUAAUUAAAUUACAGAAUUGACAAAAACAUGAAAUUAAGGUGAAAUGAUAAAUGACGGACUAGCUAGAGGGUUCUUCUCCACACAUGACACAUAUGCAACCUAAAUUGAUUUUCAGUUGUUCUUUCAAUAAAUUGUGAAUCUCAAUACUCCAGAUUAACCGUGAAUAGCACUUUUUUAAUCUUCAAGUUUUCCUUAAGUUAUUGAAUUGGACGGAAAAACGCAUACAACAAUUCAAAACAUUCUUCAAAAGUCCCCUACGUGAAAAAGCACAAUAGCGAUACAAUCAAAGAUCAUUAAACUUUGUGAAAACUAUAAGCAUUGACGAGGCAUUCGUAACUAUGAAAAAGCAUGAUACUCUUGCCAAGAAUUUACUUAACGUGAUUGUGACUAGCAACCUUUACUACUUGUGAAAAUAAGUUCAUAACGAUUAGGUGAAAUUCACUUAUAUUCUAGCAUCAAAUUCAUGCAUGUAAAUUAAGCGUGCACUCUCAACCAACAUACACAAAUCAGUUUUUAUACGAACGGAUAAGUAAAUUGAAAUCACAACUUAUGAAAUCACAACCGAAGGUAAUCAAUUCAUAUUACAAAUAUAUUCAUGGUUUCGAAUUAACCUCUAGCCAAAAUAAAAUUAAUUACACAUUAUUAAAAUAAAAAUAAAAUAUGAGUUUGGAAAGAUUAAACCGAAAGAAAGGAUCUGCUGCUUGGACUCUGAACUGCAUUUUCAUGCUGACCUCCUGUCCUCCUCGCCACUGACUUCCCUUCUCUCCGCAGCUUCACGCUGCCCAAAGGGCAGCCCUCUGCCUUCCACCAAUUCCCCCCCUCCUUCUCUCUUCUGCCAAUCCCAUCUAUAUCCUCAUGCUCCUGACCUCCUCCUUAUUUCUUUUUUUUCUAUUUUAUUUUUUUCUGUUGCUGUCCACCACAUUCUCUGCGCCUACUGCGCUCCCAGCUGUCUCUCCUGCUUUCCACUGACUUUUCCCGCUCCCACUUCUCUCUAUCCUCUUUCUGCU